Non-coding RNA from Sesamum indicum (sesame), 733 nucleotides. NCBI's taxonomy places the organism in Eukaryota, Viridiplantae, Streptophyta, Magnoliopsida, Lamiales, Pedaliaceae. The record is from RefSeq and is a predicted model, not a curated record.
UAGGCCAAUAUUCUUCUCGGGAUUGGUGGAAAAGACUUCCAAUCUUCCUAUAAAUAUUGCCCUCUCUUCUACACUUAAACCUACACUUGCUAUUCUCUCUCUCUCUCCUCCCCUUCCUCUCUCUCUCUCUAACAUAUGUAUAUAUAUGUGUAUGUAUUUGUUUCAAGAAACCCUAUUUAGGGUUGCAGCAGAUGAUGCUUUUGAAGGGCCUUCAGAAAUGGCUCUUUUCGUGUUCUUCCACAGCUUUCUUGAACAGCAAACUGCAGAUAACUGUACGUAUGGCCUCCUACCGGAGAUGAUUGAUGCCUUUUGCGGUUCAAUAAAGCUGUGGGAGGAUAUGGGGAGGGCCAGGGAGAAAUUCAAACUCUGAACAGUGUUUGGCUUUUACUAUUGAAUUAUCUUCUUUUAUUUACCAUCCUCGCUGUUUAUUAUUUUAUUUUCUUAACCUUUUGAAACUGCAUUUGAUCGGACGGAUGAAAUUCAUAGUUGUGCUGUUGGAAGGCUAGAUCUGAGAUAUGAUGUCCGGUCUCCAAUCCCCUUCCUCAACCACAGGCAGAGGAUAAGAAGAGAUUGGUUUGCUAUUUUGUUUCAGAUCUUUCGAUUCACAAAAUACAAAAAAAGAAUGUGUAAAUGGAAGGAAGAACAGUUGUUUUACCCACCAUGAUUGGUGGGGACUGAUAUAAUUCCCUGAUAAUUAUAGUAUAUAUAUAAACAUAUAUAUAUAUUUUGUGUU